GACGAACGCUGGCGGCGUGCUUAACACAUGCAAGUCGAACGGAAAGGCCCUGCUUUUGUGGGGUGCUCGAGUGGCGAACGGGUGAGUAACACGUGAGUAACCUGCCCUUGACUUUGGGAUAACUUCAGGAAACUGGGGCUAAUACCGGAUAGGAGCUCCUGCUGCAUGGUGGGGGUUGGAAAGUUUCGGCGGUUGGGGAUGGACUCGCGGCUUAUCAGCUUGUUGGUGGGGUAGUGGCUUACCAAGGCUUUGACGGGUAGCCGGCCUGGGAGGGUGACCGGCCUCAUUGGGACUGAGAUACGGCCCAGACUCCUACGGGAGCCAGCAGUGGGGGUUAUUGCACAAUGGGCGGAAGCCUGAUGCAGCAACGCCGCGGGCGGGAUGACGGCCUUCGGGUUGUAAUCCGCUUUCGCCUGUGACGAAGCGUGAGUGACGGUAAUGGGUAAAGAAGCACCGGCUAACUACGUG
This 468-nucleotide ribosomal RNA is filed under the name uncultured bacterium. RNAcentral describes it as "partial 16S ribosomal RNA". It matches the Rfam family "Bacterial small subunit ribosomal RNA", at positions 28 to 507 of the family's 1533-position model. The record is from RNAcentral.